RNAcentral lists this long non-coding RNA (981 nucleotides) under Lepisosteus oculatus (spotted gar). RNAcentral's name for it is "lncRNA (ENSLOCG00000022979.1)". Lineage: Eukaryota; Metazoa; Chordata; Actinopteri; Semionotiformes; Lepisosteidae. The record is from RNAcentral.
UGACUGUUUCAGGGAAAGCCUUCCCAUCAUGGAUGAUAACUCUAGGAAUAAUUGUAGGCCUGGCUGUAGUCCUGUUUAUUUUACUGAUUGUUUACCGCUGCAAAAAUAAACAACAACACAGCAACAACAAUGCCAACGCCAACAACAACAACAACAACAAGAAGAAAAAGGAAACGAAAAAUACAAAACUAAUGACAGCACACACCUCGGUCAAGAGUAGCGUUAAUGUACCGGAGUGUCCAUCGUCCAUCGUCCGUAUCUCUCUCGACCCUGCAGAACAUCUGUGCUUCAAGAACUACUGAUGUAAACGUCUGCAUUAUGAACACUACAGACCAUGGUUUAAACUCUGUUGUGUUUAAGAGGUGGGGUUGGGGUGAUCAAAUAAUUGGCUAAACUAAUUAUUCUCUUUUAAUGUGAAGGGACUUGCUUUUAAGCUUAAUUGUAUGGAUUCAUCUUUUACAGAAAUGUAACUUGCUCGGCCAAUUCAGGCAGUUUCAUAUUAGUUGUGUAGAUUAAACCAUUAACUUAUCUGGCUGAUGAGCUCCAGAACACCUAAAUUGCACCUGUACAAGCUUCAGGACAUUUUCAAAACCAGAGCAGAGAAUUUUAGUUUGCAAUAAACUUCUGUCCAUGCACUUUUAUUGCUUUGGAACUCUUAUGUUCCAUAACGAAUUUGCGGACUUAAUUAUUACUGCUGUCUUGUCUUGAAAUAGUAUUGUUGAAUUAAUUCGGUCAUUGAUCAAGUUAAAAUUCUUUAAUAAAAAGGUCAGUUUUUGUCAUCGUUGCAUUUUAACUGUUCAAGGUUACAGUGCCUUGCAAAUAUAUUCACACCACAAUCCAAUGAUGGGAUCAUUAAUAAACACUUUGUUUUAAGGCGAUUCAAGAGUGCGGGAGGUUCUGGUCUGAACCACAUUCCCCAGAAGGCAAUGUACAGUAACCCACCUUCCUAAGUCACCUAACCUAGUGGCACAAGACAGUGAU